GUCAAGUUCACGUCCGGCCCGCGGGCUGCCCGGGGUCCCCGGGCGCGGCUGGGGCAGCGGGAGGCGCGGGAGGCCGAGGUCCCGGGUGGCCGCCGCGGCCGCCCCCGAGGCGCUGCUGUCACCCCGGCCGCGCCCCCCAACUUUCUGCACAGUCGCGGAGCUGGAAGUUUCCGGGCUUCGCGGACACGCUGGGCUGGGUUUCAGCCGCGGCUCGGAGGUUGGCAACAAAGAGGGAAAGAAGGAGGAAAAGCAGGCCGGGGAGGGGAGGAAGAGAACCGCGCGGAGGCCGCGGCGCCGAGAGCCCCAGAACUUCCAAUUCUACCCAGAAGCUUUUUUCGUUGUGUUUUUCUCUUAAGAGGCUCUGAGAGUUACAUAAUUGAUUCUGACUUUGGCUGUUGGUCAACAGUGUCAUAAGGUAAAAUAAGGCUGUUGUAGAAUCUGCUCAGCCAGGGAGGAGAAAGGAGUCG
Long non-coding RNA from Pongo pygmaeus (Bornean orangutan), 467 nucleotides. RefSeq lists it as uncharacterized. The record is from RefSeq and is a predicted model, not a curated record. NCBI's taxonomy places the organism in Eukaryota, Metazoa, Chordata, Mammalia, Primates, Hominidae. The transcript is spliced from 3 exons.